RNAcentral lists this ribosomal RNA (485 nucleotides) under uncultured bacterium. RNAcentral describes it as "partial 16S ribosomal RNA". It matches the Rfam family "Bacterial small subunit ribosomal RNA", at positions 28 to 507 of the family's 1533-position model. The record is from RNAcentral.
AUUGAACGCUGGCGGCAUGCCUUACACAUGCAAGUCGAACGGCAGCGGGCCCUUCGGGGUGCCGGCGAGUGGCGAACGGGUGAGUAAUGCAUCGGAACGUACCCGGGAGAGGGGGAUAACCGGCCGAAAGGCUGGCUAAUACCGCAUGAACUCGGAAGAGCAAAGCGGGGGACCUUCGGGCCUCGCGCUCUCGGAGCGGCCGAUGUCCGAUUAGGCUAGUUGGUGGGGUAAAGGCCCACCAAGGCGACGAUCGGUAGCGGGUCUGAGAGGACGAUCCGCCACACUGGGACUGAGACACGGCCCAGACUACUACGGGAGGCAGCAGUGGGGAAUCUUGGACAAUGGGCGCAAGCCUGAUCCAGCAAUGCCGCGUGGGUGAAGAAGGCCUUCGGGUUGUAAAGCCCUUUCGGCGGGGAAGAAAUCGGUCAGGCGAAUAGUCUGGCCGGAUGACGGUACGCGCAGAAGAAGCACCGGCUAACUACGUG